GGAAGGAUCAUUACUGAAUUGUCAACAUGAAGUUGUUGCUGGCCCUCGAAUGGGGGCAUGUGCACACUCUGUUUACACAUCCACUCACACCUGUGCACUCUCUGUAGUACUGUGGUCUGGGGGUUCUGUCCUCCUACUGUGGUUCUGCGUAUUUACACACACACUGUAAUAAAGUCUCAUGGAAUGUAUGUCGCGUUUAACGCAAUGAAAUACAACUUUCAGCAACGGAUCUCUUGGCUCUCGCAUCGAUGAAGAACGCAGCGAAAUGCGAUAAGUAAUGUGAAUUGCAGAAUUCAGUGAAUCAUCGAAUCUUUGAACGCACCUUGCGCCCUUUGGCUAUUCCGAAGGGCAUGCCUGUUUGAGUAUCAUGAACACCUCAACUCUCAUGGCUUGCCAUGAUGAGCUUGGACUUGGGGGUUUUGCUGGCCUGUGGUCAGCUCCCCUCAAAUGCAUCAGCUUUCCAGUGUUUGGUGGCACCACAGGUGUGAUAAACAUCUACACAUGUGGUUCCCCACCAUAUAACCUUCAGUGAUGGAGGUUCGCUGGAGCUCACAAAUGUCUUUCCUCAGUGAAGACAGUUCUUUGAUUGUUUGAUCUCAAAUCAGGUAGGACUACCCGCUGAACUUAAGCAUAUCAAUAAGC
This 642-nucleotide ribosomal RNA is filed under the name uncultured fungus. RNAcentral's name for it is "eukaryotic LSU rRNA". The stretch from base 214 to 368 matches the Rfam family "5.8S ribosomal RNA". The record is from RNAcentral. Lineage: Eukaryota; Fungi.